RNAcentral lists this transfer-messenger RNA (360 nucleotides) under Sulfobacillus acidophilus. It matches the Rfam family "transfer-messenger RNA". Rfam says of the family: Bacterial tmRNA, also known as 10Sa RNA or SsrA, is named for its dual tRNA and mRNA-like properties. Its role is to liberate the mRNA from a stalled ribosome. RNAcentral also lists the same sequence under 1 other name. The record is from RNAcentral. Lineage: Bacteria; Bacillati; Bacillota; Clostridia; Eubacteriales; Clostridiales Family XVII. Incertae Sedis.
GGGGGCGAACUAGAGUCGACGGGGAUGGACGGGGUGCCGGAUAGCGAGCCGAGCUCUGUGUCUCGUUAAACCGCAGGAAACCAAUAACUGCCAACGAAUCUAACGAUUCUUUCGAAUACGCUUUAGCUGCUUAAUCCCAGCUAACGUGGCCUAGUUCGGUGCCUGUCCUGACCUAGAUCACGUAAAUGAGACAGGAUACCGCUUCAAAUGCCCGGUUGGAGACGGGAAAUUUAGGGCUGGUCCAGGGUUGUCGCGCUUCGGACGGCAAGUGUGGACGAGAUAAAAUCCGAGGCUACGCUCGUAGAAUUCUGGUAUGACGUGUCUUCGGACGGGACGGGCAGCACGUCCCCGCCUCCACCA